RNAcentral lists this non-coding RNA (38 nucleotides) under Ezakiella massiliensis. RNAcentral describes it as "Selenocysteine insertion sequence 4". It matches the Rfam family "Selenocysteine insertion sequence 4". Lineage: Bacteria; Bacillati; Bacillota; Tissierellia. The record is from RNAcentral.
GGCACCUGUACACGUUGCGGUGCAACGAUAGUAAAAGA